GAUGAACGCUGGCGGCGUGCCUAAUACAUGCAAGUCGAGCGAACGGACGAGAAGCUUGCUUUUCUGAUGUUAGCGGCGGACGGGUGAGUAACACGUGGAUAACCUACCUAUAAGACUGGGAUAACUUCGGGAAACCGGAGCUAAUACCGGAUAAUAUUUUGAACCGCAUGGUUCAAAAGUGAAAGACGGUCUUGCUGUCACUUAUAGAUGGAUCAGCGCUGCAUUAGCUAGUUGGUAAGGUAACGGCUUACCAAGGCAACGAUGCAUAGCCGACCUGAGAGGGAGAUCGGCCACACUGGAACAGAGACACGGUCCAGACUCCUACGGGAGGCAGCGGUAGGGAAUCUUCCGCGAUGGGCGAAAGCCUGACGGAGCAACGCCGCGUGAGUGAUGAAGGUCUUCGGAUCGUAAAACUCUGUUAUUAGGGAAGAACAUAUGUGUAAGUAACUGUGCACAUCUUGACGGUACCUAAUCAGAAAGCCACGGCUAACUACGUG
This 497-nucleotide ribosomal RNA is filed under the name uncultured bacterium. Its description in RNAcentral is "partial 16S ribosomal RNA". It matches the Rfam family "Bacterial small subunit ribosomal RNA", at positions 28 to 507 of the family's 1533-position model. The record is from RNAcentral.